GUGCCAGCAGCCGCGGUAAUACGAAGGGUGCAAGCGUUACUCGGAAUUACUGGGCGUAAAGCGUGCGUAGGCGGUGACUUAAGUCUGUUGUGAAAUCCCCGGGCUCAACCUGGGAAUGGCAAUGGAUACUGGGUCGCUAGAGUGUGAUAGAGGAUGGUGGAAUUCCGAGUGUAGAGGUGAAAUGCGUAGAUAUUCGGAAGAACACCGGUGGCGAAGGCGGCCACCUGGACGGUCACUGACGCUGAGACGCGAAAGCGUGGGGAGCAAACAGGAUUAGAAACCCUAGUAGUCC
Molecule: ribosomal RNA, 292 nt
Filed under: uncultured bacterium
Lineage: Bacteria
Description: partial 16S ribosomal RNA
Rfam family: Bacterial small subunit ribosomal RNA
Source: RNAcentral